RNAcentral lists this ribosomal RNA (696 nucleotides) under uncultured bacterium. Its description in RNAcentral is "bacterial SSU rRNA". It matches the Rfam family "Bacterial small subunit ribosomal RNA", at positions 9 to 751 of the family's 1533-position model. The record is from RNAcentral.
GAGUUUGAUCCUGGCUCAGAACGAACGCUGGCGGCAGGCCUAACACAUGCAAGUCGAACGCUGUAGUAAUACAGAGUGGCAGACGGGUGAGUAACGCGUGGGAACGUGCCCUUCGGUUCGGAAUAACUCAGGGAAACUUGAGCUAAUACCGGAUACGCCCUUAGGGGGAAAGAUUUAUUGCCGAAGGAUCGGCCCGCGUCCGAUUAGCUAGUUGGUGUGGUAAUGGCGCACCAAGGCGACGAUCGGUAGCUGGUCUGAGAGGAUGAUCAGCCACACUGGGACUGAGACACGGCCCAGACUCCUACGGGAGGCAGCAGUGGGGAAUAUUGGACAAUGGGCGCAAGCCUGAUCCAGCCAUGCCGCGUGAGUGAUGACGGCCCUAGGGUUGUAAAGCUCUUUCGCCAGGGACGAUAAUGACGGUACCUGGAUAGGAAGCCCCGGCUAACUUCGUGCCAGCAGCCGCGGUAAUACGAAGGGGGCUAGCGUUGUUCGGAAUCACUGGGCGUAAAGCGCACGUAGGCGGAUCUUUAAGUCAGGGGUGAAAUCCCGAGGCUCAACCUCGGAACCGCCUUUGAUACUGGAGGUCUCGAGUCCGGGAGAGGUGAGUGGAACUGCGAGUGUAGAGGUGAAAUUCGUAGAUAUUCGCAAGAACACCAGUGGCGAAGGCGGCUCACUGGCCCGGAACUGACGCUGAGG